Non-coding RNA from Vicia faba (fava bean), 381 nucleotides. The record is from the annotation of a GenBank genome assembly. Lineage: Eukaryota; Viridiplantae; Streptophyta; Magnoliopsida; Fabales; Fabaceae.
UCACCGAAACCCUAACAAACCCGACCCGGAAUGGAGAACCGGACUCGGGUUCGGUGUCCGGAGAAUGAAGAACUGGCGUCGUUCAUGUGGAACACGUGGAUAGUCAUGGCUUCGCAACCGAAAGGUCUUUCCAAAGCUCAUUUCAAUGUCCGUAACUCUAAAAUCCCAAUUCGAACAGGUUUUUUUGGGACUGGGUCUGGAGGUAUUGAACCAGGGACCAGUUCUAGAGGCACUGAACCAGCUGACUUGACCAAAAAGGGAGAUCAUAUUCUGAGUUUGAUUAUUCACAUAUUUAUAGAGUGCAAGUGGUAGAAGAUUGAAUAAUAAAUAAAUGAACAUCAUGGUUGUGACUGGUUUUUGAUGAUUUUGUUCUGUUGACAU